RNAcentral lists this signal recognition particle RNA (98 nucleotides) under Campylobacterales bacterium. Its description in RNAcentral is "signal recognition particle sRNA small type". It matches the Rfam family "Bacterial small signal recognition particle RNA". From Rfam's summary of the family: The signal recognition particle (SRP) is a universally conserved ribonucleoprotein involved in the co-translational targeting of proteins to membranes. Archaeal SRP consists of a 7S RNA and homologues of the eukaryotic SRP19 and SRP54 proteins. In most bacteria, the SRP consists of a 4.5S RNA and the Ffh protein (a homologue of the eukaryotic SRP54 protein). The record is from RNAcentral. Lineage: Bacteria; Pseudomonadati; Campylobacterota; Epsilonproteobacteria; Campylobacterales.
UCUUUAGACCUGUGCAAUGGGGUUUAAGAGUAACGCUUCAGGGUGGGAACACAGCAGAGCGCUUUUUUACCGCAGGUGCCGCAGGUAUCUGAAGGGGG